This 440-nucleotide ribosomal RNA is filed under the name uncultured bacterium. RNAcentral describes it as "partial 16S ribosomal RNA". It matches the Rfam family "Bacterial small subunit ribosomal RNA", at positions 338 to 795 of the family's 1533-position model. The record is from RNAcentral.
CCUACGGGUGGCAGCAGUAGGGAAUAUUGCUCAAUGGGGGAAACCCUGAAGCAGCCACGCCGCGUGGAGGAUGAAGGUUUUCGGAUUGUAAACUCCUUUUGUUAGAGAAGAUAAUGACGGUAUCUAACGAAUAAGCACCGGCUAACUCCGUGCCAGCAGCCGGGGUAAUACGGAGGGUGCAAGCGUUACUCGGAAUCACUGGGCGUUAAGCGCGCGUAGGCGGGAUAGCAAGUCAGAUGGGAAAUCCUAUGGGUUAAACAUAGAACUGCAUUUGAAACUGGUAGUCUAGAGUAGGGGAGAGGUAGGUGGAAUUCUUGGUGUAGGGGUAAAAUCCGUAGAGAUCAAGAGGAAUACUGAUUGCGAAGGCGACCUGCUAGAACAUGACUGACGCUGAGGCGCGAAAGCGUGGGGAGCAAACAGGAUUAGAUACCCUAGUAGUC